Cygnus olor (mute swan) is the source of this 7017-nucleotide long non-coding RNA. RefSeq lists it as uncharacterized. Lineage: Eukaryota; Metazoa; Chordata; Aves; Anseriformes; Anatidae. The transcript has 3 exons. The record is from RefSeq and is a predicted model, not a curated record.
AUACCACCUCCUUCACUAUUUUCAUAAUUGUAGUGGUGACAAGUAUUUCUAAUGAUUUCAUGUUAGAUUUCAGGGAAUAAAGGCAGAGAGUAACAACACUUGGAGUUUUUAAACCUUUAACACUUUACUAACACUUUGUUAGUUAUAAUUAAAAACCUAAUAUUAUGUUUUAGCGUAAAUAUUUUGGUAUCAGCACCAAAGCAAUGAGCAGAGUACCGUGCAAUGGUGCACUUGUGGUUAUCUCAGCACAAAGCUGCAUAUGUCAUAGGAGCUGAAUGAAAGCUACCAAACCAGUGGAGAGCUCCCCUGGUCUUCAGUGGCUUUGGAGCUGGUCUUUGAGAUUCAGCUCGUGAGUGUUGUGGUCUUCUUGCAGUAUUUUUUUUUCCCCUGAAAUUUGCAGUCCAUGUUCACGCAGUCUAGUUUAAUUGGUGCUAAGAGAAGUAGAAGAUCUAUGGCAACGUAUACAAGCGCAGAAUCAGAUUUAAUAUGAAGGUCUUCAGCAUUAGCAGCCCCAGUGAGGCAGAUGAGGUUGUAGUAACGGAUUUACAACAGUUUACUUUUGGCUUGGCUAAAGUGGACUUGAACUCCAGCAGCUCGGCAUUUUGUGUAAGGACGGUGGUUUUAUUCUUUCAUUGUAUUGUAGCUGUGUAUUAUUAUAUAUUUCCAACUGACAGAAGCCUUAUGUAGUAUUUUGAAGGCCUUGUAAUGAUUUUCUAUUCACGUUAAACUGGAAUCAAGUUUGAAUAACAAUCCUUUUGGUUGGUCAUGAGUAGUGACUCCACAUAAAGCACUUAGCGUAUAGUGGACUAUAUCCUCCUUCAUCCCAUUUAUUGUCCCUCCGGUUACUUAAUAAAUGCUCUAUAUUUAGCUGAUUAGGCACUCUGAUGAUUAUUUUUGCUGUAAUAAGUACUUUAUGCUACCGUAGUUUAUCAUCAAAUCAGUUUAAAGGUAAAGGGUUUUCUUGUUAAGCUGUUCUUCAGUUCUUGUCCCCAAACAGUUACGGUGUCACUUUCUCCGCUAUUGAUCCAGCAAUUACUUAAGACUGGCAACAAUCCCGUAAGCCUUGAAUUGCCAUGUGUAUAAAUUAAUUAUAUACACGUAACCGACUGUGUUUCGUAUGUUCCAGAUGUGACGCAUGCAGUGGUUGAAAAAGGCGGACAGUCUUUACCUUCUGUGACGACGCGUACCUUUCAGCUCUCCUAAGGGGUAGUCUCGUAUCUGGGUUUGAACUAGGGAGAGCGAGCCACAGUUCAGGAUGUCUGCCAGUCACUCCCGCGGGUAGGUGGCGGCUGGGAGUUUGCAAGAAGUAAAUUUCUGCAGACAGAAGGUUACAAAUGCAUAACUAACGACACCGUAAUUGUUCCUGAAGAAAAUGUCAGUGUCCAUUCCCUUGACACCAUGUGUGACAGGGAGUGAGAUAAUGACUUGAUGUGUCGGAGGAAUUUCAUCACAGUAGUUGCUUCAUUCUUUCAAAAAAAUGUGAGAAACCUCCUAGGAAUCAGUCAAACUCGGGCUGCUGUGGAUUGAUUUAAGUGGAUUAGCUCAGCUGUUUCCUAUGCAGUUCCUGAAAUGUGCUAAUCAGCAUUAAUAAAAAAUAGUGGCCCUCGCUCCUCAAAUUGUCUUGUAGUUACUGCCAGAGCUAGGGAGGGCUGGUUUGUAUCCAGGCAGCAUCCCGCUGGCUUCUGCGGCUUCUGUUUCCAGUGAAACCAGAACUGAGCUCCUGUGUUACCUCACGGAAGGUGCUUGACCUCCAGCUCAAGACAAGGAAGCAGAAGAGGAAUCUGUAUCUUUUCAGCAUUCCUCUGAGAAAGCUCUUAUUUUACCCACUGACAAAAACCUCGUCUGUGCGGAAAGGAGACUUGCUGGGUGACCACAGCAGCAACUAAGGCAAGGGAGGCAGGUUCUUGCACCAGUGCAAAACCCGGGAUAGUAUAUUUUAUGUUCCCUUUAGACUGGAGUAAAUGUCUACUCAAGAUCCCAGGCAAGUAAAUCAGUUCAGUGCUAAUGAACCACAGCUGAAGCAAUGUCGAAGGAAAAAAAUAGCUUCCCUGGUAGACAAGACUAUCGAUUUUUACAGAAAACAUUCGCAUGGUACCAGAUACUUCAACACUUUUUUGCGGGAGAAACUGAUUUUGACAUUAGUCACAGCGGAUUUUUUUUUUAAUUUUAUUUAAACAAAACAGAUUGUAGAUUAAGAUACUGGCUGCAUUUGGCAAAUGCCGCUCUACGGGGAAGGGAUGAUUGUGGGCGAAGCAGAGCAAGGAGCGAGCGUCUGGGAGUUCAGUGCUGACAUUGCUGCUAACUUCCUCUUAGGCUUAAGCAAAUCAUGCAGGUCACUCGUAAUUCAGUUUCCCUUUAUCCCAUGCCGAAAUGAUGUAACGGGGUGUUGGGAAACCCAGAGCUGAAAUGUAUAAAAGUCUCCAAGAGCAUGUAUAGCUGGAUCUGUUAGAGCAUAAGUGUCUUUGCGGGAGGUUUUUGGAGAAUCGUCUUCUCUUCUGCACCAUGAUGUAAGGAAAGGAGAACAGCAACACCUGACAGGGUAAUUGUGUUAUUUGCUUUUUCCUCGCUAGCUUUGGUUCAUCUAAUCCAAAGUUUCCUGAGUUGUAGCUGAGGAGGGAUGUUCUGGUUGUCCCUAGAAAGCUGUCUAAUUUCUGUUCUUAUUUCCAGCAAAUCCAGAAAUUGCUAGAAGAACUAGCAGGGAGGAGAAAGGCAGGCUAGACGUUUGGGACUGGAUGGGUGGCGUGACUUCAAAAGGUGAAGUGGAACUGCAGAGCAAAGCAGUGGUGAGAGCUGCUGGCCGUGAGCAGGUGAGGAGGUGGAGCAGGAACGGGGAGGAAGGAGGCAGAUGGUUGUGGAGCGUGGAAAACAGAACCUCGUGCAGGGAAACACCUGCAGAGGGUAAAGUGCGAGGAAGAGCGUGUAGAGGGAAAGAGCAGAACAGAUGGGAUGAGGAGCAAAAGGAGACGGGGAAGUUGACUCCGUUAAUAAAAGAGAGUAAUUCUCACCAUGGGGACAGCUGAAGAGUCACAAACAUAAAUAUUUUCCUUGUGUGUUUUACAUAAGGGAAAUUGUCGUGCUUGUUCUAAGGACGUUACGUAACCCCAGACAAAAGCAAACAGUUCCUCAUAACCGCUUCAAGAAUGGGUUUUCUGAGGACUUCUCCAGUUCAGUUGUCACUCACUGGGUAAACUGUUGCAAACAGCUAAUUAAGGACCUAUCAUAUCACCCCGAUUGCUUCUACUUGUUGAACAGUGCCAUUGCUCACAAAAAGCUCAGAAGUCAGUGCUAGCAAUGGUAACGAAAAUUGUUUAUUGAGUGAGAGGCGUCCUGAAACUGUGGUUGAAGCUGAACAUGCCAAAUAUCACUAGAUUUGCUCUACAACAUCAACCAGUUUGAGUGCUUGGCAUCUUUUAGGGGCGUGCUCCAAGCAGGCAGAGCCCCCUGAAGUGUGGGAGGUUCAAUGUGCACAGGAGCGUGUAACUGCAUACCGUAUCACAAGCUGGAAUGCCCCGGUAUUGGCUGAACCCCCUGGAGAUAAAAUAUUUUAGGGUGUGCUGGUCGCUGCCGAGCUUUUCUUCAGUCUCAGCAGACGUGUUUGGCGGACUUUCCGUAGUACUGCUGAAGGUUCCUGUGCUCUCCAGUGCCGAGUUCCUCUCACAACAGAGCCUGCAAGCGUGGAAGCGGGGAGUUCACGCUGACAGCAGUCUGCGGUGACCACCACGUUACAUCCAGCUCGGUGGGUCCGGCUGCGUUAGAACAGCUCAACGCGAGGAAGGAUGCUGAGGUCAGGUUUACGAAUACAGAGCCAAAUUCAAUUCUUGCGCUGCAGGCUUCUGCAAGGUGGUGCCAGGAAUGAAUCUUUCCCUAUAGCUAGGUGCUCUGUUGGUGUCUCCGGCCGGUGCCAAGUUAACUGUUUCCAACAGCAAAUGUGCCAGCAGCACACGUGUACGUGAGGGGAAGAAAGUGAGCUACCCUUAGGUACGUGUACACAUGAUUCUGCACUGCUGACAGGCUCUUGUGAGCUUGGUCAAGUGUGCGACCAGUGCGGGACUCCAGUUUCUCAGGGAUUCCUGGCAGAAAACUGUAGCUCAGCAUAAGGAGGUCUGGAAAGCUGCUUCAUUUUAACAGCAACUUUUCCUGUUUCAAGUAAACGUUCUGCGGGCUGGCUGCUGGCCAAGGGCUAUUUCCCUGAGUAGGUAAAUAUUUUGGGCAAGGUGUGAUAGAGCAGACAGCAAAGACGAAUGUUAGCACUGAGCACUGCGGCAUCAUGUAGUAGCAUAAAUCCUCACCAUCGUGUGGAGUCUUACGGAUGCGGUGGCCUUUCUAGGACAGAAACACACAGAAACGGAAGGGGUCUUCCUGCAGAGAUUUGCAAGGAGAGGGGUAAAAACGGAGUUGAUAAUUUCACCACACCUUUAAAAACUAAUAUUGUUUGCAACACGUUUGGCACGACGGGAACCUUUCUGCGUUGGGGUGCAGCAGCUCGGCGUGUGUACCAGGCAGCCCUGGGGAAUGUGCAGCUGGGGACACUUUGGGCAGUGUGCAUUAAUUACAGCGUAUCACUAUUUAUCUCAUUUACAUGCCUUGAAAGGAAAUGGCUGCUUUUACUACAGUGCCCCAUUGUGCCAGGGCUGUGAACGCCCGUCUGAAGGCACGAUCUCUGACUCCUGAAGUUACCCUCAAAUGCGAGAUGAAAGGGGUGGUGGGGGGAACAGAAUCAGAGUGCACGAAAUCACAGCCCGUAUUAUCCAUCCGCAGUUGGCCUGCACAGCCCAUUUUGCAGGUCGGACAGAUUGAGCCCUAAGAGAUUAAAAUGUUAGGUAUCACUGUGCACAGCUCUCCUUCCAGAGACAGUUAGCUCAGCAUUUCUCACUGAAAGCCGGACACACACUGAGCCUGCGUACCGAGAUAAGCUGCUUUUAGCUGGGCAUUUAAAACACCUCCGUCAGACAGCAGUGGGUGUGCUGUAAGCAGCUCGCCUUCUUUAAGGGUUACGAAAUUUCAGCAUUGAUUUUUGAGGACAACCAGGAGAAUAAUCCUUAAAUGUGAAAUAUUUAUUUUACUCUGAUUAAAUUUACUUUUAGCCCGUGAUCAAUGAAGACAGUUAUCCUGGCAGUUAUUCUGUGUGCGUGAGCAGCAGGGGUGACUGUAAAAAACUGUAAGCUCGAUUUCAAAGAGCCGUGCCCUACUAGCGUGGGGAAGGGAAGAAAAUGUCUUUGUUUUGGAAAAGAGCUGGCUUGUGCACCUUGCCUUGUACUAUACGUUAUUGCCUCUUGGUACGUGUUUAAAAUGGAGCUUGGUGACUGUGGUAUCGACCUAAAAAAUUCAGCCACUGUCCUUGUCAUCACCUGGUCCGCACUGGUCAUGGGAGAGCAGGGAUGGGACGGGAUGCGCGUGGGCCUGCGUGGCCAGGGAGCGAUGCUGCCCGAAGCGGGACAAGCCUCCAGGACGGUGCCCAGCGCCCCGAGGAGCUGCGUGCGGAGCCACCGGUGCAAGGACCGCGAGAACAACGUGGGGAGACCUCUUCCCCCCAAAGAGAUGACGGCUGCUGCUGCUGCUGAGCCCGUGCAGGGCUGAUCCCCGGGCUGACAGGCGGCGUGUGCGUCUUUUUACAAACAAAUACAUUAAAUUCUGCUUUAAAGAUCUAGUAGAUAAUAGUUUGGGGAAGUUUGAUGCGUGUUUCUGGAAAUCCUGAAUAGAGGAGCUGAAAGCUCCUGGGCAGCCAGGCACUACAGCUCUGGCUCCCUCUGUUAAGCUGCUUUGGAAUCAUGUAAAACAUAAAAGAUGCUCCAGCCAGCGACCAGAUUUAUUUAAGGCUUCUGCAUCGUUAUUUGGCAGCAAACACCUGUUAGUGCCACGCAGCUGGCUUUAACACUUCUACGAGAGAGCUCUUUAAAGGCUUUGUUUCAAAAGCAAAAUCAACUACAUCCAACCAAACUGUUCUUCUGGAUGAGAAAGGUGUCUUCCUGCACAGGAAUCCUGCUGGGUUUGCCCUGGGUCUCUAAUGAUGCCUCACAUGUCCCAAGUGCUGCUGCACUCCUCAAGAUUCCCGUGACUGCUGAGACAGUUUAACAUAAGUAAAAUAGUUUAUCCUUUCAUUCGACAGUUUUUGUUGACUUUAGCUGGAGUUUUGACCACACAGGAGCUUGUGAGUACUAUAAAUAUCUCCCAUCAUUUCAGUUUUCUACAACACAUGCCAUCAGAAGCAAAACAAAGGCAGGUGUUAAGGAGCAUGCAGAAUGUGUCGGAGCAGAGCUUUAAACCAAAAGCAUCUGUCACAGCUCUGCCUCAGUCUUGUCAGCUAAAGACAGACUGGCUGGUCUUGUGUACUCAGUCUGUAGCUCUUCAUUUCGAUCAUUUAGGAUGUGAAAACUGCCUAAAAGAAUUGGUUCACAUGCUUCAUGGUUCCUUGUAAUGUAUCAAUAACUUUGUAUGCCCAAAUGGAAGAGAUCAACAGCUCAUUCUCUGAUUUUGUCUAUGCAGCAGAUCUCUGCCUAUCUGUCCCCACCAACGGGUACAGUGGCAGGGAAAAGCUCUCUCCAGGUGUUAAUGCCAGCAGCAGGUUCUGGAGGAUCUCGGCACAGAAACAUCUUCCAAGGCUGGCUGCUCACUGGAUUUCAAGGUUUACGCGAAUUUGCCAGGUUAAAAAAUCCUGACAGGUUUCUUCUACAUCAAGACCAUGCAAGUACAAAUUUCUGACAAAUGUGAAAACAAUGAAUCAGCUUUGGUUUUGUUUCUAGGCAGUUUCUCUUCCAGGUUCUCAUGCUUUCUUCCCCUCCAAAUACUGCAAGAGAAGUUUUCUUAACUAAAACGUUUCAAAUUGUACAAAGCAACACAUGAUUACAGGCUAAGGACGUUGGUAACCAGCUAGCUGUGAAACAAAAGGUCGCAUCUGAACUCUGCAAGCAGAAUCCCAGCCUGAUGUGUUUUCCCUGCUGACCUGCAUGAGCUUAGGCAUCCCAGACAUCUCCUUUCUGACCAGGGACAUCUCUGCUCUGUUCUAACCUUUCACGCUAU